GGGAAACCGGAGCUAAUACCGGAUAAUAUAUUGAACCGCAUGGUUCAAUAGUGAAAGACGGUUUGCUGUCACUUAUAGAUGGAUCCGCGCCGCAUUAGCUAGUUGGUAAGGUAACGGCUUACCAAGGCAACGAUGCGUAGCCGACCUGAGAGGGUGAUCGGCCACACUGGAACUGAGACACGGUCCAG
This 188-nucleotide ribosomal RNA is filed under the name uncultured Staphylococcus sp. RNAcentral describes it as "partial 16S ribosomal RNA". It matches the Rfam family "Bacterial small subunit ribosomal RNA", at positions 151 to 334 of the family's 1533-position model. Lineage: Bacteria; Bacillati; Bacillota; Bacilli; Caryophanales; Staphylococcaceae. The record is from RNAcentral.